GUUGAGACGUCGGUUCCCGUACGAUCAUAGACGUUAAGCAACGUCGAGCCUGGUCUGUACCUAGAUGGGUGAUCGCUUGGGAAUACCAUGUGCUGUG
This 97-nucleotide ribosomal RNA is filed under the name Acanthosepion pharaonis. Lineage: Eukaryota; Metazoa; Mollusca; Cephalopoda; Sepiida; Sepiidae. The record is from RNAcentral.